This is a non-coding RNA of Stegodyphus mimosarum, 73 nucleotides long. The record is from Rfam. Lineage: Eukaryota; Metazoa; Arthropoda; Arachnida; Araneae; Eresidae.
ACCUUCAUGGUGUAGUGGUCAGCACACUCGACGCGAAUUCAAGAGGUCCGUGGUUCGAAUCCCGGGGAGGGCA